AUUGAACGCUGGCGGCAUGCUUUACACAUGCAAGUCGAACGGCAGCACGGGUGCUUGCACCUGGUGGCGAGUGGCGGACGGGUGAGUAAUACAUCGGAACGUGUCCUGAAGUGGGGGAUAACGCAUCGAAAGAUGUGCUAAUACCGCAUAUUCUCUGAGGAGGAAAGUAGGGGAUCGAAAGACCUUAUGCUUUUGGAGCGGCCGAUGUCUGAUUAGCUAGUUGGUAAGGUAAUGGCUUACCAAGGCGACGAUCAGUAGUUGGUCUGAGAGGACGACCAGCCACACUGGGACUGAGACACGGCCCAGACUCCUACGGGAGGCAGCAGUGGGGAAUUUUGGACAAUGGGCGCAAGCCUGAUCCAGCAAUGCCGCGUGAGUGAAGAAGGCCUCGGUUGUAAGCUCUUUCAGUCGAGAAGAAAAGGACUAGUGACUAAUAAUACAUAGUUCAUGACGGUAUCGACAGAAGAAGAC
Molecule: ribosomal RNA, 471 nt
Filed under: uncultured bacterium
Lineage: Bacteria
Description: bacterial SSU rRNA
Rfam family: Bacterial small subunit ribosomal RNA
Source: RNAcentral